UUGAAAGGGAAACGAUUGAAGUCAGUCAUGCUAGUGAGGAAUCAGCGCGAGGGUUCGCUCUCGUGUGCACUUCUUCGCUUGGCAGGUUAGCAUCAAUUUUGGUCGUCAUAAAAUUAUUGGGGUAAGGUGGCUCCCCUCGGGGAGUGUUAUAGACCCUAGUAGAUGUGAUGACCGGGAUUGAGGAUUGCAGCGAAUGCUAGCUUGGCUAGUCACCUGGAUUUCUGUUGAUCACCUCGCCGUUGAUACKUCGCUAACCUCGGUGGGAUCUGAUUAACUAGAGAUUAGACUGAUCGUAAAUUCGCUAAGGAUGCUGACGUA
This 318-nucleotide ribosomal RNA is filed under the name uncultured Glomeromycotina. Its description in RNAcentral is "LSU rRNA". Lineage: Eukaryota; Fungi; Glomeromycota. The record is from RNAcentral.